GAUGAACGCUGGCGGCGUGCCUAAUUCAUGCAAGUCGAGCGAACAGACGAGGAGCUUGCUCCUCUGACGUUAGCGGCGGACGGGUGAGUAACACGUGGAUAACCUACCUAUAAGACUGGGAUAACUUCGGGAAACCGGAGCUAAUACCGGAUAAUAUAUUGAACCGCAUGGUUCAAUAGUGAAAGACGGUUUUGCUGUCACUUAUAGAUGGAUCCGCGCCGCAUUAGCUAGUUGGUAAGGUAACGGCUUACCAAGGCAACGAUGCGUAGCCGACCUGAGAGGGUGAUCGGCCACACUGGAACUGAGACACGGUCCAGACUCCUGCGGGAGGCAGCAGUAGGGAAUCUUCCGCAAUGGGCGAAAGCCUGACGGAGCAACGCCGCGUGAGUGAUGAAGGUCUUCGGAUCGUAAAACUCUGUUAUUAGGGAAGAACAAAUGUGUAAGUAACUAUGCACGUCUUGACGGUACCUAAUCAGAAAGCCACGGCUAACUACGUG
This 497-nucleotide ribosomal RNA is filed under the name uncultured bacterium. Its description in RNAcentral is "partial 16S ribosomal RNA". It matches the Rfam family "Bacterial small subunit ribosomal RNA", at positions 28 to 507 of the family's 1533-position model. The record is from RNAcentral.